GUGGGUAUUGCUCAGUGGUAGAGUGUACGCUUAGCAUGCAUGAGGUCCUGGGUCCAAUCCCCAGUACCUCCA
RNAcentral lists this transfer RNA (72 nucleotides) under Camelus bactrianus (Bactrian camel). It matches the Rfam family "tRNA". From Rfam's summary of the family: Transfer RNA (tRNA) molecules are approximately 80 nucleotides in length. Their secondary structure includes four short double-helical elements and three loops (D, anti-codon, and T loops). RNAcentral also lists the same sequence under 2 other names. Lineage: Eukaryota; Metazoa; Chordata; Mammalia; Artiodactyla; Camelidae. The record is from Rfam by way of RNAcentral.